Neopsephotus bourkii (Bourke's parrot) is the source of this 430-nucleotide long non-coding RNA. RefSeq lists it as uncharacterized. NCBI's taxonomy places the organism in Eukaryota, Metazoa, Chordata, Aves, Psittaciformes, Psittacidae. The record is from RefSeq and is a predicted model, not a curated record. The transcript has 3 exons.
CUGCACCCUAGGACACAUUCAAUGAGAGAAGGGCCGCAGCACACUGUGUCUGGUUCCCACACUCCCCCCGUCUGUCCUUGCAGUGCCAAUACAAUACUGACUGCACACACAGGGUACUGCAACAGUGCCUCAGCCUCAUGUCUCAGCUUCUGUUAGUUUGGAAGAUGAGACAGUAGUUCAAGUCACUAGUGCAUAGUGUGAGACAGAGCGAAGGGAGAAGGUACACAGCUUCUCUGAAAUAGGAGACAACUUUUACUACAAAUGAACCUCAUCCUUGGAUUUGGAUGUACAGCUGCUUCCAGUGUCCUGAGGAAACAGAAUUUGUUGUUCAUGACUAUCUGAUAGAUAUUACCUAAGCUGGAAAAAUGUAUCUGAAUGUAUAUCACCCAAAAUCACAAAGAAGAAUGAAUCUGAUAACUCUGCCUAUGCA